UACGAGAGGCCCAAACGUUAUUCGGAAUUACUGGGCUUAAAGAGUUCGUAGGCGGCGCAGCAAGUCGGGUGUGAAAGCCCUCGGCUCAACCGAGGAAUUGCGCUCUAAACUGCUGUGCUCGAGGGACCUAGAGGUGAGCGGAACUGAUGGUGUAGCGGUGAAAUGCGUAGAGAUGUGGAGGAACACCGAUGGCGAAGGCAGCCUUCUGGGCCAAUACUGACGCUCAUGCACGAAAGCGUGGGGAGCAAACAGG
Molecule: ribosomal RNA, 253 nt
Filed under: uncultured bacterium
Lineage: Bacteria
Description: partial 16S ribosomal RNA
Rfam family: Bacterial small subunit ribosomal RNA
Source: RNAcentral